CUACGGGAGGCUGCAGUGGGGAAUAUUGGACAAUGGGCGAAAGCCUGAUCCAGCAAUACCGCGUGUGUGAAGAAGGCCUGAGGGUUGUAAAGCACUUUCAAUAGGAAGGAAUACCUAUCGGUUAAUACCCGGUAGACUGACAUUACCUAUACAAGAAGCACCGGCUAACUCCGUGCCAGCAGCCGCGGUAAUACGGAGGGUGCAAGCGUUAAUCGGAAUUACUGGGCGUAAAGCGUGCGUAGGCGGUGAUUUAAGUCAGAUGUGAAAGCCCUGGGCUUAACCUGGGAACUGCAUUUGAUACUGGAUGACUAGAGUUGAGUAGAGGAGAGUGGAAUUUCAGGUGUAGCGGUGAAGUGCGUAGAGAUCUGAAGGGACACCAGUGGCGAAGGCGGCUCUCUGGACUCAAACUGACGCUGAGGUACGAAAGCGUGGGUAGCAAACAGGAUUAGAUACCCGUGUAGUC
This 463-nucleotide ribosomal RNA is filed under the name uncultured bacterium. RNAcentral describes it as "partial 16S ribosomal RNA". It matches the Rfam family "Bacterial small subunit ribosomal RNA", at positions 339 to 795 of the family's 1533-position model. The record is from RNAcentral.